GGGGGUUUAGCUCAGUUGGUAGAGCGUCACGCUGGCAGCGUGAAGGUCAGCGGUUCGACCCCGCUAAUCUCCA
RNAcentral lists this transfer RNA (73 nucleotides) under Bacteroidota bacterium. Its description in RNAcentral is "Bacteroidetes bacterium (activated sludge metagenome) tRNA-Ala". It matches the Rfam family "tRNA". Rfam says of the family: Transfer RNA (tRNA) molecules are approximately 80 nucleotides in length. Their secondary structure includes four short double-helical elements and three loops (D, anti-codon, and T loops). The record is from RNAcentral. Lineage: Bacteria; Pseudomonadati; Bacteroidota.